UACGUAGGGUGCGAGCGUUAAUCGGAAUUACUGGGCGUAAAGCGUGCGUAGACGGUUAUUUAAGUCGGGUGUGAAAGCCCCGGGCUCAACCUGGGAACGGCGCUUGAGACUGGCACGCUCGAGUUCGGGAGAGGAUGGUGGAAUUCCCAGUGUAGAGGUGAAAUUCGUAGAUAUUGGGAAGAACGCCGAUGGCGAAGGCAGCCAUCUGGACCGGCACUGACGCUGAGGCGCGAAAGCGUGGGGAGCAAACAGG
RNAcentral lists this ribosomal RNA (253 nucleotides) under uncultured bacterium. RNAcentral describes it as "partial 16S ribosomal RNA". It matches the Rfam family "Bacterial small subunit ribosomal RNA", at positions 524 to 776 of the family's 1533-position model. The record is from RNAcentral.